UAUUGGGUAUACCCAAUAAGAAGUGUCGCUGAAUAUGCUUAAAACACCCUAAUUGGGUAUUUGCAGGUUAGUACCCAACAAAACUUGGACACGACGAUUUGUCCAAAAAAGUGUCCAAAAAAGUUGCUUUCACGGACGCACCGUGUUUUGUUGUUUCAGUUUUACAUUCGGAACUCUAAAUUCUCGAGAGUUCCGAAAAUCAACUUCCGUUGAUCCUGAUCAUAACAACGUUUGUUUUCAUGGAAAAAAAAUAUGGCGACUAAGAAACACUUAAUGUCAACAAGAUUUUCUGAUUGACAAGAGAAAAGGUCAAACAGGAACUUCAAUUGUGAACAUUGCAGAGAACACACCCAUCAGAAGAUGACCCUCAGAAAUAGGACAAUUAAUGAAUAAAAUGGACAGAGGCAGAACUGAAGGAGAUGCAUGAAAUGAGGAAUAUUUCAAAGAUUGCCUGAGCAUAACCACUGCUACUGGAUAAACAUAUGGCAAUGUAAAAGAGCAGGGUCAAUGGAGGUAUCAUACAGUAUAGGCCAUGAGAGACCCUGAAGAAGAAAGUAUUGAACAGAAACAAAAAUAAAACCAUUUUGACAUUUAUUGAAAUAUAGGAUCAAAGUCUUAUAUGUAAAAUUUGGGCAUGUAAUGACUUUUCUCUAGUUCUAAGACUUAUAACAGUGAUGAUUUGAUUUAAUAUCUUUAUCCCAUUUUGUCGAAAAGAUUUGGACAUA
Molecule: long non-coding RNA, 725 nt
Organism: Saccostrea cuccullata (small rock oyster)
Lineage: Eukaryota; Metazoa; Mollusca; Bivalvia; Ostreida; Ostreidae
Exons: 3
Source: RefSeq, a predicted model, not a curated record